This 7400-nucleotide long non-coding RNA is filed under the name Sus scrofa (pig). RNAcentral describes it as "lncRNA (ENSSSCG00000056187.1)". Lineage: Eukaryota; Metazoa; Chordata; Mammalia; Artiodactyla; Suidae. The record is from RNAcentral.
GAAAUAAGUGUGGUGUUUCUUUGUGCAUAAAAAGCUGUUGCUAUGUCUGAUUUGCUACAGUGUGGCGAAAGAAUUAUAGUAUCUGAUUUGUUGGAGAAAAGAGAAGGGAGGAAAUCUGCGCCUUUGUUUACAGAGGUAUUAUGAAGUACUAGUAAGCUAUUUAUCUCUUGCUGAAAUUUGAAGCCUUUGAGUCAAAUCUCAUUUAUUAAUUCAAUUAAAUUUUUUCAAGAAAUUUUACAUUUAAACAUUUAUUAAAAAGGAAAAAAAAAAAAAAAAAAAGAUGGGAAAAGGGGAUUGUAGAGAUCAGCUAAGCCAGAUUUUGCCCCAAAGACAGCUCUCCUCUUGGUUAGGUUUCCCUCCCUCCUUCUUUCCAUAGAAAUUAAACAUUUACCCUACAAGGCAUCUGAACACACCAAAACAAACCCCCUCCCCAACCUACCCGCCCCCCCCCAAAAAAGGAGGAGAUAGGUCCCUGGCCUUCAGGACUUUAUAUUAAUUGGGAAGACAAGAAUAGGCAGAAAACAUUAAACAAUCUGAGAACAAUAAAAGACAAAAUUCUGAGCAAGGAUAGAGUAUUUGUGUUGCUGCUGGAUAAGAAAAGCUUCAAGGAGUUGGUCUCUGGCCAGGUCUUGAUGGAAUUCUGACUGGUAGAGAGCAAAAGGGCAUUCUGGAAGAGAACUGCUCUAAUUAAGGCAUGUCAUAUAUCAUUCAUUCAUCUGGUGAUCCAAUAUUUAUUAAGCAACUCAUAUAUGAGAUUUUUGGCGUACUGCAAGGGGGUAGACUGGGGUUUUUGCAGAGUAAGGACAUGCAGGAUAAUUCUUUUGGAAAGGUGAAGCCAUUUGUCUUGUGGUUUCCUCAAAGAUACCACAUUCUCAGCUCACAGCCACUAAUAACUGUAACCAAAAGGCAAUGAUUCUCCCCCUUCUCUUUUCUCUGACAAGGGUGCCUUUCCUAAUCUGUGCUGCUUCCUACGGGCCCCAGCCCAGACCAGAUAUCACUUCCUUCACAAAAGCCCUCCUUUACGUGAGCUUGGGCAAGGUGGCCCCAGCUAAAAAGCUCACACUGGCCAUCAUUUCUUAGCGUCUGGAAGGAAGUGUUGCAGACUAGAAGGUGGGUGGACCUGAGGUGAGGGGGGACCGUGGAAUGUUUCUCCCUGCUUCCCUCCAUCCUACCCCCUGGGCGUUCCCUACAAACCCAUCACCUCUCUCAUCUGGAGACGCCAGUUUAGUCACGGGGGUGGACGUUAACAGAUAAUCAGGCAAAUGUCAGCUAUAAAUUGUGAAACGUGCCACCAGGAGGAAGUAGCUAGACGUGGUGAGAAAGAAUACUGGACCAGGAGGUCAGCAGAGUAACACCAGCCACCCUGCCCUUCUCCCCACGAUGGCAUCCAAAGGACGAGGGCACCUCUGAAGCCCAGGGCAGGGCAGGCAGCUUUGAGCCUGGAAUCUGGGCAACAAAGGGAAGGAGAUGAGAAGAAAGCAAGGUGAGCCCAUGGAGAAGGCUGCAUGGACCACUGAGGAGUUGGGAAUUUGUUCCGAUUGCACCACGAAGCCACUGAAGCAUUUAAAGCAGUUUUUUAAACAGUCGUGCUGGUUUCCUGUGGAGAAACACUGGGAGGGGAGCCAAGUGGAAAUGGCGAGACUUCAGGAGACAGUGGUCCCCUCACUGCCGGAGAGAACUGAGGGAAGGCGUGUUGGAUAGGAGCAAUAGUGGUCGCAGACCCUGGGGUCUGUUGAGGCAGUGAGGUGAGGUGGGCGUAAGAGACCACGCAGGUUUCUGAAGGUACCCCGUGUGUGGUUAUUUUUAGAACCAGAGCAGUAGCAUAGAUUGAAAAUAAAUGUAUUUUAAAAUAUGACUAUGCACCCAUUACAACCGAGUCAAAGGCUUUUAGUGACAAAGGUGAGAGGACUAUUUGCCUAUAAAAUCCUAAGUUCACAGAUGCGGUUUAAUGACUCUAUUAAGGACUUUUAAAACACUAAGGAAAACAUCCUGAUAAAUUUGUGAAAGAAAUGGACACAUGGCAUGUUUGAAGAUUUUAUGUGAGAAAUGUAAAUCAAUCAAAAAAGGCAUUUAAAAUUGUAAAUCAAACUGUAAAUUAAAGCAAUGAGUUGUGUGGUUUUGUUUUUUUUUUUUGUUUUUUUUUUUUAACCCAUGAAGUAUCACCAAUUAAUAAAACAACAAUCCUCCAUGCUAGCAAGGUAUGGGGUGGCACAAAACACUCAUUUACUGCUGCUGGUCUGUAAUUAGCAGAACCUUUCUGAAGGGCAAUUUGGCGACCUGCAGGAAGAGCUUUAGAAAAUCUCACUUGCUUUUUACCUGACAGUUCUACUUCCAGAACUAUGUCUCAGAAUAAUCCAUGAUGUAAACAAAGAUUUAGGUACAGGGAUAAUCAUAAUUAUAUCUAGCAGCACAAACUUAGGGGAAAAAAAAAACCUUGUGUCCAUCAACAGAGUAUUGCUUAACACCUUAGGAUACAUUUGUGUUUUCACAGACAAAAUGUUCACAUUGAAAUAUUAAGCAAAACACUCCCCCCCUCCAAAAAUAAAAUAGGAAACACAAAACUGAAGGUCCUCUCCUCCAAAAGGGGCAGAAGCAGAGGGACGGCACAGGAAAAGCUAUGAGAGGGACCUAGACCCGUGUGUUAGCAGGGAACUAAUUUUAUAAUUUGUAAAACAUUCUUUUCCAUUAUGGUUUAUCACACGAUAUUGAAUAUGGUCCCCUGUGCUAUACUGUAGGACCUUGUUGUUCAUCCAUCCUAUAGGGAACUCAUUUUAAUUUUUAGAUUUUUUUAAUCCAUUUUCACAAUGAGCAUUUACAUUUUAAUACGUUUAAAAACUUAAAACAUUGUUUAAAAACAAUAUGUAUAAAGGAAGGAAAAAAGAAACCAAAAGGAGAUGGCUAUGGACCCUGUGAGCAGAGCACUUAAAUAAGGAGAGGAAGCCCACUUCCUGAGCCUCACAGACCCUUCCCUGGACCAUUUCUGCUCCUACCGCUUGCUGUGCUCUCUCUCCCAGUUUCCACCACCUGGAAUGUGGUUCUCCUUCUCUUCUUGGCCUGGCUAAUUCCUACCAUCUUUAGGUGUCAGGUACCCAUGCUUCCUCUGCCCUCCUGUGCCUCCUGAGCCUGGCGGAGCUGCUCCUGCAGUGGUCUCCGUAAUAACCCCAAGGCCACUAUCACAGACCUGCUGUGUCCCUGUUAGGACUGGUUUGACUGCUGGCCUUUAUGUUCCAUGAGGGCCAGGACUGUCUUUCUUGCUUACCAAGCUAUCCCCAGGGACUACAAUAGAGUUGGGGCAAAACAGGACCUCAGUAUAAAUUCUUGAGUCGUUUUUUGGUCUGUUUUUUGUUUUUAAGUGCUUGGAGAGGGUCAAAGAGAGAGAGAGAUGUACAAAAGUUUGCAAGAGAGUGAAGGAAAUGGAGUGUGUUUAUCAAACAGCUAAGGAAGAAGCCCGUGUGAAGAAAUGGUGUGGAGGAUGCACAUCCACUCCCAGAGGAUGGCAGUGAACAUGGGUGGAUGGAAAGAUGAUUAGCACAGGUGGAUUGAGCAAGAUUUAAAGGAAAUCUGAUUCAGCCACCUUCUCCUUAACCUCUCCAAUGCCCCCUUCACCAAACUGGUAAAAUGGGCAAUUUCCUUGACAUUUCUUUGAAGCCUUCCAAGAUCUGGUCUCUUUCUGGCUUCAUUCGAUUCCAUUCUCCCCGGCUCAGUAUACUCCAGCCACACCUCUCUUCUCCCUGGGUUCCCUGAAUAUCUCAGUCUCAUUCCUGCCACAGGACCUUUGUACUUCCUGCUCCCUCUGCUGAAAUACUUCUCCCUUCUUUGUGUGGUGCUUGACUCAUCAUACCACUCAUUAGAGUUGACUCUGCCUGCUUAGAUUGCCCUUCCCUGACUACCCUACUCCCUUGCCCCCAUUCCUAGUCCCUCUCCGUCAUAUUACCCUGUCUUAUUCUCGCUAAAGCACUUACCAGUAUCUGGAAUUAUCUCAUUUAUGUAUUUAAUGGCUGCAUAUUGUCUGUCACCUUCAUUAAGCAUAACUUACAUUAGAGUGGAGAUCAUGCUAGUUCUUACUGCCUCUGUAUUUCCUAUUCCCUUAAAUAGUGCUUGGCCCACAGCAGGUCCCCCACAAAUAUUUGCUGUUGAGAGUAAGGUCUAUGUAUGUUUGGAGGAAGUGAGGAAGAUGGUGCUACAGAGGGCAAAAUUAGAAAUGUUAUAGGCCAGAAAAGCAAAGAAGUAUCAUUUCUUAAGGCCAACCUUGAAUUCUGGAUAGUGGCUACCUAGAAUCUUGCCCUGGGUCUCUGAAGUUUCUCCAGGUUCAUAGGAAAUAAUGCUAUGAUUGACUAGCACUCUCUGCCAUGGGCAUAGGAAAGUUUUGGUGGUGAUCGACUAGUACUGUCUGCCAUGGGCAUGGGAAAGUUUUGGUGGUGAUUGACUAGCACUGUCUGCCAUGGGCAUAGGAAAGUUUUGGUGGUCCGACAGACCUUUCUGUAUUCCAGUUUGCACUGCUUCAAUUCUUGUCCUGACACAUGGACGUUUUGUUCAGGAUAUGGCCAAGACUGAUCUUAGUUAAUGUUUAAGUGUUUAGUUUUCUUUUUUCUUUAUGAAACAAUAUAACUGAAGAGCAUAAAAUGCUUUUUGUAUCAGUUUGGUGUACUUAUUUGUUCUCUAAUAAAACAUUCAUAUACAUGUGUUUUCAGUGGCAUGGGAGAAGCACAAAAAAGUAUUUCCUUGUUGCCAUGAUCUCAUUUCUUUCAGACUUUCAUAGUUGGAUCUUUUGAGUGAUAUGAGAAUGGUAGAUAAUUCUUAUUGCCAGCAGUAAGGGACAGUCUCAUAGAGAAGACAAGGAGAAGCUGCAGAUCUUCAUUCUUAGGAUCCUUUCAUGCUUAGGAUCCUUUGAGGCUUGGAAUCUGCAAAUUUCUUACUCCCUGAGCUAAUCAUUUCUUCUUGAGAACAGUAAGGCCUUUUAUCAAGAUGGCCACAUCCCUGUAUGUCCUGACAUGCAAAUGAUGAUAAUGGGCCUAAUUAACCCAGUGACCAUGAUGACCAAAAAAAGAGGAGUAUGCAUAAGUGAAUGAAGUUUGCCUGCCCUGGGAAUUUGGACUUUUCAGAGGCACGCUUCUUUGUAUCAGAUAGUAUGCUCCGCUCAUUUCUUGUCUUUUUCAUGCAUCAAGCUAUUUGGAGGUGUGCAUUUUAAAACCCAGCACAGAGUGCUUGACCCAGACCCUUCCCCAGGAUCUGCUCAGCACACACCAUUUCACAGUGUUACUUCUGGGUACCCACAAGUCAUCACAGUGUUGCAACUGUGACAGCCCCAAGGUUUAGAGGGUCCAACACCCCUGCCACUUCCACCUUCUCCUCUAAGUGCUGGCAUUGAUCUGCCCCUGAGCCAGUGCCAACGAGAAAGGAAAGCUAAUCCUGUUUGAAAGUGGCCCAAGUAUUAACUACAAUCACUUUGGGGCAAAAGGCCAAAGAGCCCCGGUCCCACACAGUGUCCUCCUUCUUCCUGGCACUCCCUGUGAUCAAUCCCACCUUUGCUCCCUCAUUUGACCUCAGGUGCAUAUCACCAUGGUGGGGCUGCAACUCAAAGUACAGCCCUGUGGCAGGAAGAUGAAUGGCUCCACCAAACACGUCCGUGUCCUAAUUCUGAGCACCUGCAGAUUUAUGAGACGACAUAAUGUUAGGGACUGAAUUGCAUCUCCUCUACCAUGUUGAAACUUGUGAUAUUGUGAUAUGAUAAGAACUAUAUAUUUGGUUUUAGUCUCCAGUUUCUGACAAAAGAGCUUCGAAGACUCUUGGAAUCUCCACAGUAAUAAGAACAUCUUUUUGUAUGCUAAGGAGAUGACUGCUCCCCCCCCCAUAGUGUCACCCUAAGGGCUGGUCACUGGCAAGACCUAGGUAUGAAUGAAAGCCCUACCCCCUGCUUCAGAGGCGGGGAGAGGGGCUGGAGAGAGUGUUAGUAAAAUAUCAUGCCUACAUUGGACAAAGCCUCCAUCAAAAUAUCUAAACUUUUGGGUGCAGAGAGCUGAUGAGUUGGUGAAUGCAUCCAUUUGGCAAGGAGGUUGAUGUACCCUAACUCCAUAGGACCCUGUGCUAGGGUCCCUUCUAGACCUCACCCUAUGUGCCUUUUCAUCUUGCUGAACAUCUGUAGCUUUUAUAAUAUCCUCAUCAUAAACUGAUAAACUUAAAUGAAGUGUUGCCCUGAAUUCCGUGAGCCUUUACAGCAAAUUACUGAAACUAUGGAGGGGAUGGUGGGAAUUCCCAAGUUAUAGCGGGUUGGAGAGAAGUACAGGUAACAACCUGGGACUUGUGGCUGGUGUCUGAAGUGGGAGCAGUCUUGUGGGCCGAGCCCUUACUCAAUGCAAUCUGCACAAACUCCAGUAGCUAGUGUCAGAAUUGAAUUAAACUGUAGGACACCUCGCUGGUGUCUGGAGAGUUGAAGAACUGGUUGUUGAUGAGGACAAACCCUGUAAUUUUGUGUCAGAAGUAUUGUGAGUAGAGGACCAGUUUUCUUGAGUAAGCCCUAACUGUCAGUGUGACCAUAUUGGAGAUAGGGCCUUUGAGGAGGUAAAGAGGGUUAAAUGAGGUCACAGGUUACAGCCCUAGUCCCAUGGGAAUGGUGUCCUUAGAAAAGGAAGAGACAGCAGAGCACCCUCUUUGCUUGUGCAUGUGGAGGACAGGUCAUAUGAAGAUGUGGUGAGUAGGCAGGUGUCUGUAACCCAAGAAGAGAAGUCUCAUCAGACACUAAUCCUGCUGGCACCUUGAUCUUGGACUUCUGGCCUUAAACUUCCAGAACUGUGAAUUUCUCUGGUUUAAGCCACCCAGUCUGUGGUAUUUUGUUACGGCAGCCAGAGCAGACAAAUACACAUAACAAAAGAGGAUUAAAGCUGCAGGUAGAAUUAAGGUUCUUAAUUAAGUGGUCUUCAGAUGGGGAGAUUAUCGUGAAUUAUCCAGGGGUAGGCCCAAUGUAAUCACAAGAGUCCUUAAAAAUAGAAAGAGGCACAAGAAGAGAGUCAGAGGAAGAUCUAGUUAUUGUUUAUUAGUGUAGAGAGACACAAAGAAGGAUUUGCUCCAGCUUUGAAGAUGGAAGACGUGAGCCAUGAGCCAAGGAACGCAGGCAAAGCUCUAGAAGCUGGAAGAGGCAAAGACAUGCAUUCUUUCCUAGAGCUUCCAGAAGGAAUGCAGUCCUGCUGACACUUUGGUUUUAGCCCACCGAGACCCGGGGUCAAACUUUUAAUCUCCAGAACUGUAGGUUCUUAAAUUUGUGUUGUUUUUUUUUAACGCCUUGGAAUUUAUGGCAAUUUGUUGCAAUACCUAGAGAAGAUCAGUAUAAUCCUGGUAAGACCUAAUAUCUAUUAACACUUUAAAAAUACUGUUUUGGAUAUACACAUCUAUUGGGGAUUCAUUUC